ACGGGAGGCAGCAGUGAGGAAUAUUGGUCAAUGGGCGCAAGCCUGAACCAGCCAAGUAGCGUGAGGGAUGACUGCCCUACGGGUUGUAAACCUCUUUUGUUUGGGAAUAAAGGAGCCUACGCGUAGGCUUUUGCAUGUACCUUUCGAAUAAGCAUCGGCUAAUUCCGUGCCAGCAGCCGCGGUAAUACGGAAGAUGCGAGCGUUAUCCGGAUUUAUUGGGUUUAAAGGGAGCGUAGGCGGCCGGUUAAGUCUGCGGUCAAAUGUCAGGGCCCAACCUUGGCAUGCCGUGGAUACUGUCCGGCUUGAGUGCACACAAGGAAGGUGGAAUUCGUCGUGUAGCGGUGAAAUGCUUAGAUAUGACGAAGAACUCCGAUUGCGAAGGCAGCCUUCUGGGGUGUUACUGACGCUGAGGCUCGAAAGUGCGGGAAUCAAACAGGAUUAGAUACCCUGGUA
This 453-nucleotide ribosomal RNA is filed under the name uncultured Prevotellaceae bacterium. RNAcentral's name for it is "bacterial SSU rRNA". It matches the Rfam family "Bacterial small subunit ribosomal RNA", at positions 341 to 792 of the family's 1533-position model. Lineage: Bacteria; Pseudomonadati; Bacteroidota; Bacteroidia; Bacteroidales; Prevotellaceae. The record is from RNAcentral. RNAcentral also lists the same sequence under 1 other name.